AAAGAGGAGCUUGCGGCAGAUUAGCUAGUUGGUAAGGUAAUGGCUUACCAAGGCUACGAUCUGUAUCCGGUCUAAGAGGACGGUCGGACACACUGACACUGAACAACGGGUCAGACUCCUACGGGAGGCAGCAGUCGGGAAUUUUGGGCAAUGGGCGAAAGCCUGACCCAGCAACGCCGCGUGAAGGAUGAAGUAUUUCGGUAUGUAAACUUCGAAAGAAUGGGAAGAAUAAAUGACGGUACCAUUUAUAAGGUCCGGCUAACUACGUGCCAGCAGCCGCGGUAAUACGUAGGGACCAAGCGUUGUUCGGAUUUACUGGGCGUAAAGGGCGCGUAGGCGGCGUGACAAGUCACUUGUGAAAUCUCCGGGCUUAACUCGGAACGGUCAAGUGAAACUGUUGUGCUAGAGUGCGGAAGGGGCAAUCGGAAUUCUUGGUGUAGCGGUGAAAUGCGUAGAUAUCAAGAGGAACACCUGACGUGAAGACGGGUUGCUGGGCCGACACUGACGCUGAGGCGCGAAAGCCAGGGGAGCAAACGGGAUUAGAUACCCCGGUAGUCCUGGCCCUAAACGAUGAAUACUUGGUGUCUGGAGUUAUUAUUGCUCCGGGUGCCGUCGCUAACGUUUUUAGUAUUCCGCCUGGGGAGUACGCACGCAAGUGUGAAACUCAAAGGAAUUGACGGGGACCCGCACAAGCGGUGGAGCAUGUGGUUUAAUUCGACGCAACGCGAAGAACCUUACCUGGACUAGAAUGUGAGGGAAGGGCUUCUAAUAGAGUCCGUCUGGGAAACCAGACCCAAAACAAGGUGCUGCAUGGCUGUCGUCAGCUCGUGUCGUGAGAUGUUGGGUUAAGUCCCGCAACGAGCGCAACCCUUAUCAACAGUUGCCAUCAUUAAGUUGGGAACUCUGUUGAGACUGCC
Molecule: ribosomal RNA, 917 nt
Filed under: uncultured Acidobacteriota bacterium
Lineage: Bacteria; Pseudomonadati; Acidobacteriota
Description: bacterial SSU rRNA
Rfam family: Bacterial small subunit ribosomal RNA
Source: RNAcentral